This 370-nucleotide ribosomal RNA is filed under the name uncultured bacterium. RNAcentral's name for it is "partial 16S ribosomal RNA". It matches the Rfam family "Bacterial small subunit ribosomal RNA", at positions 338 to 723 of the family's 1533-position model. The record is from RNAcentral.
CCUACGGGAGGCAGCAGUGGGGAAUAUUGCACAAUGGGGGAAACCCUGAUGCAGCGACGCCGCGUGGGCGAAGACGUAUUUCGGUGUGUAAAGCCCUAUCAACAGGGGAGAAGAAAUGACGGUACCUGAGUAAUAAGCACCGGCUAAAUACGUGCCAGCAGCCGCGGUAAUACGUAUGGUGCAAGCGUUAUCCGGAUUUACUGGGUGUAAAGGGAGCGCAGGGGGCAUGGCAAGACUGAUGUGAAAGCCCGCGGCCCAACCGCGGGACUGCAUUGGGAACUAGCGGGCUGGAGUGCAGGAGAGGUGGGCGGAAUUCCUAGUGUAGCGGUGAAAUGCGUAGAUAUUAGGAGGAACACCAGUGGCGAAGGCG